This 675-nucleotide ribosomal RNA is filed under the name uncultured bacterium. RNAcentral describes it as "bacterial SSU rRNA". It matches the Rfam family "Bacterial small subunit ribosomal RNA", at positions 64 to 750 of the family's 1533-position model. The record is from RNAcentral.
ACGGGGGCCCGCAAGGGCAACCGGCGAACGGGUGCGUAACACGUGAGCAACCUGCCAAUUUGUGGGGGAUAGCCGGCCCAACGGCCGGGUAAUACCGCAUACGCUCACUGGGAGGAGUCUCCUGGUGAGGAAACCUCCGGGGCAAAUCGAGGGGCUCGCGGCCUAUCAGCUAGUUGGUGCGGGUAACGGCCCACCAAGGCGAUGACGGGUAGCUGGUCUGAGAGGAUGGCCAGCCACAUUGGGACUGAGAAACGGCCCAGACUCCUACGGGAGGCAGCAGUGGGGAAUCUUGCGCAAUGGCCGAAAGGCUGACGCAGCGACGCCGCGUGUGGGAGGAAGCUCUUCGGGGUGUAAACCACUGUUGCCCGGAACGAAACUCAGGAUUCGUCCUGAUUGACGGUACCGGGUGAGGAAGCACCGGCUAACUCUGUGCCAGCAGCCGCGGUAAUACAGAGGGUGCGAGCGUUGUCCGGAAUCACUGGGCGUAAAGGGCGCGUAGGUGGCCACUGUAAGGCCGUGGUGAAAGUCCGGGGCUCAACCCCGGAUCGGCCGCGGCGACUGCAGGGCUUGGGCACCGUAGAGGCAGAUGGAAUUCCGGGUGUAGCGGUGGAAUGCGUAGAGAUCCGGAAGAACACCGGUGGCGAAGGCGGUCUGCUGGGCGGUGGGCUCGCAAGA